UACGGAGGGUGCAAGCGUUAUCCGGAUUCACUGGGUUUAAAGGGUGCGUAGGUGGAGUGGUAAGUCAGUGGUGAAAUCUCCAAGCUUAACUUGGAAACUGCCGUUGAUACUAUCAUUCUUGAAUAUCGUGGAGGUAAGCGGAAUAUGUCAUGUAGCGGUGAAAUGCUUAGAUAUGACAUAGAACACCGAUUGCGAAGGCAGCUUACUACACAGUUAUUGACGCUGAGGCACGAAAGCGUGGGGAUCAAACAGG
Molecule: ribosomal RNA, 253 nt
Filed under: uncultured bacterium
Lineage: Bacteria
Description: partial 16S ribosomal RNA
Rfam family: Bacterial small subunit ribosomal RNA
Source: RNAcentral